This 1751-nucleotide ribosomal RNA is filed under the name Brassica rapa (field mustard). RNAcentral describes it as "SSU rRNA". It matches the Rfam family "Eukaryotic small subunit ribosomal RNA". The record is from RNAcentral. Lineage: Eukaryota; Viridiplantae; Streptophyta; Magnoliopsida; Brassicales; Brassicaceae.
CCUGGUUGAUCCUGCUAGUAGUCAUAUUCUUGUCUCAAAGAUUAAGCCAUGCAUGUGUAAGUAUGAGCGAAUUCAGAUUGUGAAACUGCGCAUGGCUCAUUAAAUCAGUUAUAGUUUGUUUGAUGGUAACUACUACUCGGAUAACCGUAGUAAUUCUAGAGCUAUCGUCCCGACUUCUGGAAGGGAUGCAUUUAUUAGAUAAAAGGUCAAGGCGGGCUCUGCCCGUUGCUCUGAUGAUUCAUGAUAACUUCGGCCGGAUCGCAUGGCCUUAGUGCUGGCGAUGCAUCAUUCAAAUUUCUGCCCUAUCAACUUUUCGAUGGUAGGAUAGUGGCCUACCACGGUGGUAGCGGGUGACGGAGAAUUAGGGUUUGAUUCUGGAGAGGGAGCCUGAGAAAGCGGCUACCACAUCAAGGAAGGCGCAGGUGGCGUAAAUUAACAAAUCGACACGGGGAGGUAGUGACAAUAAAUAACAAUACCGGGCUCUUUGGUAAUGGAAUGAGUACAAUCUAAAUCCCUUAACGAGGAUCCAUUGGAAAGAAAGUCUGGUGCCAGAAAGCGCGGUAAUUCCAGCUCCAAUAAGCGUAUAUUUCAGCUGUUGCAGUUAAAAAGCUUCGUAGUUGAACCUUGGGAUGGGUCGCCCGUUCCACCGCCGGUGAAACACCAGUUGGCUUGUCUCUUCUACGUCGGCGGUAUGCUCCUGGCCUUAACUGGCUGGGUCGUGCCUCGGUGCUGUUACUUUGAAGAAAUUAGAGUGCUCAAAGCAAGCCUACGCGCUCUGUAUACAUUAGCAUGGGAUAACAUCAUAGGAUUUUGAUCCUAUUGUGUUGGCCCGCCGGGAUCGGAGUAAUGAUUAGCGGGGACAGUCGGGGGCAUUCUUAUUUCAUAGUCAGAGUUGAAAUUCUUGGAUUUAUGAAAAGGCGAACAACAGCGAAAGCAUUUCCCAAGGAUGUUUUCAUUAAUCAAGAAGCGAAAGUUGGGGGCUCGAAGGCGAUCAGAUACCGUCCUAGUCACAACCAUAAGCGAUGCCGACCAGGGAUCAGCGGAUGUUGCUUUUAGGACUCGCUGGCACCUUAUGAGAAAUCAAAGUUUUUGGGUUCAGGGGAGUAUGGUCAUAAAGGCUGAAACAUUUAAAGGAAUUGGCGGAAGGGCACCACCAGGAGUGGAGCCUGCGGCUUAAUUGACUCAAACGGGGAAACUUACCAGCUCAAACAUAGUAACGAUUGACGGACUGAGAGCUCUUUCUUGAUUCUAUGGGUGGUGGUGCAUGGCCGUUCUUAGUUGGUGGGGCGAUUUGUCUGGUUAAUUCCGUUAACGAACGAGACCUCAGCCUGCUAACUAGCUACGUGGAGACAUCCCUUCACGGAGACUAUGGCCAUUUAGGCCAAGGAAGUUUGAGGCAAUAACAGGUCUGUGAUUCCCUUAGAUGUUCUUGGCCGCACGAGUACUACACUGAUGUAAUUAUCGAGUUCACACCUUGACCGACAGGCCCGGGUAAUCUUUGAAAUUUCAUCGUGAUGGGGAUAGAUCAUUGCAAUUGUUGGUCUUCAACGAGGAAUUCCUAGCAAUUCAUCAGCUCCCAUUAACUACGUCCCUGCCCUUUGUAUACACCGCCCGUCGCUCCUACCAAUUGAAUGAUCCGGUGAAAUGUUCGGAUCGCGGCGACGUGGGUGGGUGUAACACCCUGAUCCGGCCGACAAGGCCAUGGUCGAAGCCUUACAUCACCUGGUCCACUUCCUGGCCGAACCUCUUAA